This 1841-nucleotide long non-coding RNA is filed under the name Xyrichtys novacula (pearly razorfish). The record is from RNAcentral. Lineage: Eukaryota; Metazoa; Chordata; Actinopteri; Labriformes; Labridae.
GGGGGGAGGUGUUGACAGAAUCAGCUGGCGCAGUGACAUUUUCGUGCUCGCCACUGGCGUGUAACGUGCGCUGAAAGCUCGCCGAUUCAAACCUGGUCAGCUUUCAGCGCAAGGCGGAACGCAGCUGGUCUAGUAGUAUUUUGGUAGACCGGCGGCGUAUCGACAUACGUCACCGAUGCCUCACUGGCAGGUUUCCACAGUGUCAGGCACAUUUCAGUGCAAUAAAUAAUCAUCAACAACUAUUAAUCUGAGUCAGCACAUACAUUUAGAUCUAUAUCGAUAUAUUCUGAUCUAUAUCUGAUCUGAUGAGCGCGUUUGGCACGCGUUUGGCACGCGUUUGGGCACACAACCUGACCGAAUCAAUACAGCUGAAACUGCAUCAAAUUAAAUUAAAUAUCUAGUAAAUAAACACACAUGAUGAAGUUAACAAGAUAUGUAAUGUGUCUCUCUCCUUUUCUUUCUUCCUCUUAUUUCUCGCACAGCUCGACCUGGACACGUCUCCGUGUCCUCUGUCCGUCUUCCUGCUGCUGCUGCGGCUGAACAGAUGAUUUGUUUCAGUGCUCAGAUGCGUUAUCUACUUUAAGCCGACAUACGGAAAUUAUAAUAUUCAGUUUUGUGAGCCAAAUUUAUUUUAUAUGCCAACAUCUAUGAAAGAAAGAGCCAGGCCACGGAGCGCGAUGCGUCAUUUACGCACAGAUGGUUCCGAUUUUAAUGCCAUUUUUGGAGUUUAUGUUGUGAUCUGUGUGCUAAACCCACCUUUGUCACGUGAGGUUUGAAUAUGAGCAACUUUAUGUGAGUGUCUUUAUUUGUGGAAAAGGGUGUUUGUCUUACCAGUGGGUCCAGCAUUACGCACACCAAAUCCAUCUGUGCUCAGAUGAGAGAGUGUGGAGGACACUUGUUGAGCAGCUGCCUUCUGUCGCCAUCGUGUGGCAUAACUGUCUUCAGACAUCUCUUGAUCGCUUUGACUACUUCAUGAAAAUAGUAAUACGCCUCGCCUGUGGCGGAUUUAAAGGCAAGGAGAGGAGCUUAUGUGAUUGGUGAAAACAGGUCUCGGCUGUGUUAAACCCACUAUACGCCCUCUCUACUCCCAGUCUACGACUUAUGGUGCUGGGAGGAGCUGAGUUAGGGAGGGGGGAUACUUACGCCGGGCUGCGCGGCUCACCAAAAUACCAAAAUGUGCUUGGGAACGCCUUGUCAGCGCGGCGGAUCUGAUUGACGCUGCGCUUGCGGCACGUCUCCGGCGAGGCACCAAAAUAGAGCCCGAGGGGCUCUAUUUUCGUGCGCGCCGGUGAGGCGGCGGAGGGCGGCGAGCCCCGCGCAGUUGUAUUUUCGUCUGGCGGAGCCCAGCGUAAGGCCAAUUUGGUAUUUUCGUGGCAUGAGCCGCACGGAGGCGAGCCGAGAUCCGCCAAGCUGGGCGUGGUGGUGUGGCAGGGGGAGGUGUCGACAGAAUCAGCAGGCGCAGUGACAUUUUCGUGCUCGCCAACGGCGUGUAAAGUGCGCUGAAAGCUCGCCGAUUCAAACCUGGUCAGCUUUCAGCGCAAGGCGGAACGCAGCUGGUCUGGUAGUAUUUUGGUAGACCGGCGGCGUAUCGACAUACGUCACUGAUGCCUCACCGGCAGGUUUCCACAGUGUCAGGCACAUUUAAGUGCAAUAAAUAAUCAUCAUCAACUAUUAAUCUGAGUCAGGACAUAUAUUUAGAUCUAUAUCGAUAUAUUCUGAUCUAUAUCUGAUCUGAUGAGCGCGUUUGGCACGCGUUUGGGCACACAACCUGACCGAAUCAAUACAGCUGAAACCGCAUCAAAUUAAAUUAAAUAUCUAGUAAAUAAACACACAUGAUGAAG